Ursus thibetanus thibetanus is the source of this 128-nucleotide small nuclear RNA. Its record names the gene U4. It matches the Rfam family "U4 spliceosomal RNA". From Rfam's summary of the family: U4 small nuclear RNA (U4 snRNA) is a component of the major U2-dependent spliceosome. The record is from Ensembl. Lineage: Eukaryota; Metazoa; Chordata; Mammalia; Carnivora; Ursidae.
AGCUUUGCGCAGUGGCAGUAUCGUAGCCAAUGAGGUUUAUCCGAGGCGCGAUUAUUGCUAAUAGAAGAAGCUCACAGAGCCAGCUCCACAGAAGCCCCUCGGGGUGGGGGAGGAACCAAGCCAUCAGG